GGGCCCGCACAAGCGGUGGAGCAUGUGGUUUAAUUCGAUGAUACGCGAGGAACCUUACCAGGGCUUAAAUGUAAGUUGCAUUAGUUAGAGAUAGCUAUUUCUUCGGACUACUUACAAGGUGCUGCAUGGUUGUCGUCAGCUCGUGCCGUGAGGUGUCAGGUUAAGUCCUAUAACGAGCGCAACCCCUGUUGUUAGUUGCCAUCGAGUCAUGUCGGGAACUCUAACAAGACUGCCGGUGCAAACCGUGAGGAAGGUGGGGAUGACGUCAAAUCAUCACGGCCCUUACGUCCUGGCUACACACGUGCUACAAUGGCCGGUACAGAGAGCAGCCACUAUGCGAAUAGGAGCU
RNAcentral lists this ribosomal RNA (349 nucleotides) under uncultured bacterium. RNAcentral's name for it is "bacterial SSU rRNA". It matches the Rfam family "Bacterial small subunit ribosomal RNA", at positions 917 to 1269 of the family's 1533-position model. The record is from RNAcentral.